RNAcentral lists this ribosomal RNA (372 nucleotides) under uncultured bacterium. RNAcentral's name for it is "bacterial SSU rRNA". It matches the Rfam family "Bacterial small subunit ribosomal RNA", at positions 523 to 898 of the family's 1533-position model. The record is from RNAcentral.
AUACGUAGGGGGCGAGCGUUGUCCGGAAUUAUUGGGCGUAAAGGGUACGUAGGCGGUUUUUUAAGUCUGGUGUGAAAUUGGUGGGCUCAACCCACCCAAGCAUUGGAAACUGGAAAACUUGAGUCAUGGAGAGGAAAGUGGAAUUCCUAGUGUAGCGGUGAAAUGCGUAGAUAUUAGGAGGAAUACCGGUGGCGAAGGCGACUUUCUGGACAUGUACUGACGCUGAGGUACGAAAGCGUGGGGAGCAAACAGGAUUAGAUACCCUGGUAGUCCACGCCGUAAACGAUGAGUGCUAGGUGUUGGGGGUCAAACCUCGGUGCCGCAGUUAACACAUUAAGCACUCCGCCUGGGGAGUACGUGCGCAAGCAUGAA